AGAGCUCUCCUUGGGGGUGGAUGACAGAAUGAACAUUUACUCUGGGCUCACUGGAAAAGCUCCAACGUCUUGGAAAUUGAGUGGGUAAGCACAACCUUGAGCACAUUGUCAGCAUUCCAUUUCUUUUUUGAAUAAGAAUAUGCAGUUUUACCAAUAUCAUUGGUUCAAGAGGCUUUCCUUUCCCAGUUGUGUAUUCUCGGCACCUUUGUUGAAGAUCACUUGACUGUGUAUGUGUGCAUUUAGUUCUGGGCUCUCUUUUCUCUCCCAGGGGUUCUAAUGGGUGCCCUUAUGCUAGGACCAUGCUGUCUAAAUUUCUGUGGCUUUGUUGUAAAUUUGAAUCUUAUGAAUGUCUGUCCUCCAACACUAUUCUUUUUCAUGUUAUCAUGGCUAUUUGAGGCCAUGGGAAAAUUCAUAAAAAUAAUUUUAGGAUUAUCUUUUCCAUUUCUGCACACAUGGCCAUUACCAGUUCGAUAAUAGUUGUUUUGAGUCUGUAGAUCAUUUGUGUAAUAUUGUGUAUUAGUAAGAUUUAGACUUCCUAUCCAUGAAUACAGGAUGCCUUUUCACUUAUUUUUACCUUCUUUGCUUUCUUUCAGUAGUCUUUCUUUCUAAUCACUCUACAAGUAUUUCACCUCCUUGGUUAGGUUUAUUCCUAAGUAUUUAGUUAUUUUAGAUGUUAUUAUAAGUGGGAUUACAUUUGUCAUCUUCUUGUUGGAUCAUUCACUGUUGGUUUGUAUUAACAAACCAAUCAUUUGAAUAUUGGCCUUGUACCCUGCAACUUUGAUGUAAUUAUUAACACUAAUAGCAUUCUUGGAGAUUAUUUCUGAUUUUCUAUAUGUAGAAUGAUAGAGAAGUUCUCAGUUUCACACCUAUUUUCUCAAGAUAGUCUAUAUUGAUACUGUAAAGAUAUGCUCAUAUUCACCUACUGAAUGAUGUCCUUCCAAAAGGCCUUGUUAGAUUAUUCAAAAAAUAUUUUGUCAUUACAUUCCACAAUUUAAUAAAAAAUAGUAAUUCAUUGUC
RNAcentral lists this long non-coding RNA (1017 nucleotides) under Pan troglodytes (chimpanzee). RNAcentral's name for it is "lincRNA". Lineage: Eukaryota; Metazoa; Chordata; Mammalia; Primates; Hominidae. The record is from RNAcentral.